AACGAACGCUGGCGGCAUGCCUAACACAUGCAAGUCGAACGAGACCUUCGGGUCUAGUGGCGCACGGGUGCGUAACGCGUGGGAAUCUGCCCUUCGGUUGGGAAUAACUGAGAGAAAUUUCAGCUAAUACCUUAUAAUGUCUUCGGACCAAAGAUUUAUUGCCGAGGGAUGAGCCCGCGUAGGAUUAGGUAGUUGGUGGGGUAAUGGCCUACCAAGCCGACGAUCCUUAGCUGGUCUGAGAGGAUGAUCAGCCACACUGGGACUGAGACACGGCCCAGACUCCUACGGGAGGAAGCAGUGGGGAAUAUUGGACAAUGGGCGAAAGACUGAGCCAGCCAGGCCGCGUGAGUGAUGAAGGCCUUAGGGUUGUAAAGCUCUUUUAACCGGGAUGAUAAUGACAGUACCGGGAGAAUAAGCGCCGGCUAACUCCGUG
RNAcentral lists this ribosomal RNA (433 nucleotides) under uncultured bacterium. Its description in RNAcentral is "partial 16S ribosomal RNA". It matches the Rfam family "Bacterial small subunit ribosomal RNA", at positions 29 to 507 of the family's 1533-position model. The record is from RNAcentral.